GAUGAACGCUGGCGGCGUGCCUAAUACAUGCAAGUCGAGCGAACAGACGAGGAGCUUGCUCCUCUGACGUUAGCGGCGGACGGGUGAGUAACACGUGGAUAACCUACCUAUAAGACUGGGAUAACUUCGGGAAACCGGAGCUAAUACCGGAUAAUAUAUUGAACCGCAUGGUUCAAUAGUGAAAGACGGUUUUGCUGUCACUUAUAGAUGGAUCCGCGCCGCAUUAGCUAGUUGGUAAGGUAACGGCUUACCAAGGCAACGAUGCGUAGCCGACCUGAGAGGGGGAUCGGCCACACUGGAACUGAGACACGGUCCAGACUCCUACGGGAGGCAGCAGUAGGGAAUCUUCCGCAAUGGGCGAAAGCUUGACGGGCAACGCCGCGUGAGUGAUGAAGGUCUUCGGAUCGUAAAACUCUGUUAUUAGGGAAGAACAAAUGUGUAAGUAACUAUGCACGUCUUGACGGUACCUAAUCAGAAAGCCACGGCUAACUACGUG
Molecule: ribosomal RNA, 496 nt
Filed under: uncultured bacterium
Lineage: Bacteria
Description: partial 16S ribosomal RNA
Rfam family: Bacterial small subunit ribosomal RNA
Source: RNAcentral